This 762-nucleotide small RNA is filed under the name Oryza sativa Japonica Group (Japanese rice). RNAcentral's name for it is "sRNA Os04g0669250". The stretch from base 284 to 471 matches the Rfam family "MIR812 microRNA precursor family". Lineage: Eukaryota; Viridiplantae; Streptophyta; Magnoliopsida; Poales; Poaceae. The record is from RNAcentral.
CACUGACGACGCGGGAUUCGAAUCCGUGGCUCCGUGCGUCUGGAGUGAAAUCGUUAUUACAGCGAGAGGUAGGAGUACUCCAUGUACCGCGGAGUUUAAAACGAAUGAUGAAUCAUGAUGACCUUCCAGCUGACUGUCCGUGUCCGGGCGAGUUUUUGAUUUGGUCGUCUUGUUUACCGUCGCUAGUAAUUACUGUUGGUCAGACGUACUGUAGUUCAUUUAGGUCGUGGGUCACUUUAAUACACCGGCGCUAAGCUCACGGUAUGUACUAACUCCGUCCCAAAAUAAAUACAGCGAUAUCCGUGUCCAACGUUUGACUGUCCGUCUUAUUUAAAAUAUUUGUGAAAAAUUUAAAAAAUAUUUAGUUACGCAUAAAGUACUAUUUAUGUUUUAUCAUCUAAUAGCAAUAAAAAUAAUAAUCAUAAAAAAUUUUCAAAUAAGACGAACGGUCAAACAUUGAACGUGAACAGUGUAAAACUAUAUUUAUUUUGGGACGGAGGGAGUGCAUGCUAUUAACAUGCAUGAGGGAAUUACCCACACUGUCAUGUCGUUUCAUUCUAGCCGGGGUUUGUUAACAUGGCGCCAUCAUCCAACUUAUAGCUAUUAGUUCAACCAUAUAUCUGUGCAAACCAAACUUUGUCUCCAUAGCAUUGCUAAUUGCUCCUACUCAUUAGGCCUCAAUCAAUGUUUAGACCUACAUGUCUAAAGAAACAAACACCGAUUGAUAAGGGCUAUUUGGUUCGCAGCUACUUGUUCCAGUUU